RNAcentral lists this non-coding RNA (109 nucleotides) under Streptococcus mitis. RNAcentral describes it as "Streptococcus RNA 266". It matches the Rfam family "Streptococcus RNA 266". The record is from RNAcentral. Lineage: Bacteria; Bacillati; Bacillota; Bacilli; Lactobacillales; Streptococcaceae.
AUGAUGGUUUGGUUGCUUUUCAUUAUAGAUCUUAUGGGACUUUUUUCUACAACAAAAUAGGCUCCAUAAUAUCCACAGGGGAUUAACCCACUACAAAUAUUAUAGAGCC